UGAUAACUCUUAAAGAGAAUUUGUGUUUCGGCCACAAUUGAGAAGUAGUGAGCUUCUAUCAA
RNAcentral lists this transfer RNA (62 nucleotides) under Notocotylus intestinalis. RNAcentral describes it as "tRNA-Arg". The record is from RNAcentral. Lineage: Eukaryota; Metazoa; Platyhelminthes; Trematoda; Plagiorchiida; Notocotylidae.